Non-coding RNA from Thalictrum thalictroides, 118 nucleotides. The record is from the annotation of a GenBank genome assembly. NCBI's taxonomy places the organism in Eukaryota, Viridiplantae, Streptophyta, Magnoliopsida, Ranunculales, Ranunculaceae.
GAGCAAAGGUGUCUGAUAAUAUAAUUAUCACACGGAAGGUUGGCCAUUUGAAUAAGCAGUUAUCCGUGCCUCUCAAAUUUCUAUCGUUUUGAGUAGGCUUCGAACAUGUUGCCACAUU